UGCAAGUCGAACGGCAGCACGGACUUCGGUCUGGUGGCGAGUGGCGAACGGGUGAGUAAUAUAUCGGAACGUACCCAGUAGUGGGGGAUAACUAUCCGAAAGGAUAGCUAAUACCGCAUACGAUCUAAGGAUGAAAGCAGGGGAUCUUCGGACCUUGUGCUAUUGGAGCGGCCGAUAUCUGAUUAGCUAGUUGGUGAGGUAAAAGCUCACCAAGGCGACGAUCAGUAGCUGGUCUGAGAGGACGACCAGCCACACUGGAACUGAGACACGGUCCAGACUCCUACGGGAGGCAGCAGUGGGGAAUUUUGGACAAUGGGCGCAAGCCUGAUCCAGCAAUGCCGCGUGAGUGAAGAAGGCCUUCGGGUUGUAAAGCUCUUUUGUCAGGGAAGAAAAGGUGCGCUCUAACAUAGCGUACUGAUGACGGUACCUGAAGAAUAAGCACCGGCUAACUACGUGCCAGCAGCCGCGGUAAUACGUAGGGUGCAAGCGUUAAUCGGAAUUACUGGGCGUAAAGCGUGCGCAGGCGGUUUUAUAAGUCUGAUGUGAAAUCCCCGGGCUCAACCUGGGAACUGCAUUGGAGACUGUAAGGCUAGAGUGUGUCAGAGGGGGGUAGAAUUCCACGUGUAGCAGUGAAAUGCGUAGAUAUGUGGAGGAAUACCGAUGGCGAAGGCAGCCCNCCUGGGAUAACACUGACGCUCAUGCACGAAAGCGUGGGGAGCAAACAGGAUUAGAUACCCUGGUAGUCCACGCCCUAAACGAUGUCUACUAGUUGUCGGGACUUAAUUGUCUUGGUAACGCAGCUAACGCGUGAAGUAGACCGCCUGGGGAGUACGGUCGCAAGAUUAAAACUCAAAGGAAUUGACGGGGACCCGCACAAGCGGUGGAUGAUGUGGAUUAAUUCGAUGCAACGCGAAAAACCUUACCUACCCUUGACAUGGCAGGAAUUCCGAAGAGAUUUGGAAGUGCUCGCAAGAGAACCUGCACACAGGUGCUGCAUGGCUGUCGUCAGCUCGUGUCGUGAGAUGUUGGGUUAAGUCCCGCAACGAGCGCAACCCUUGUCAUUAGUUGCUACGAAAGGGCACUCUAAUGAGACUGCCGGUGACAAACCGGAGGAAGGUGGGGAUGACGUCAAGUCCUCAUGGCCCUUAUGGGUAGGGCUUCACACGUCAUACAAUGGUACAUACAGAGGGCCGCCAACCCGCGAGGGGGAGCUAAUCCCAGAAAGUGUAUCGUAGUCCGGAUUGUAGUCUGCAACUCGACUACAUGAAGUUGGAAUCGCUAGUAAUCGCGGAUCAGCAUGUCGCGGUGAAUACGUUCCCGGGUCUUGUACACACCGCCCGUCACACCAUGGGAGCGGGUUCUGCCAGAAGUAGGUAGCUUAACCGUAAGGAGGGCG
Molecule: ribosomal RNA, 1396 nt
Filed under: Oxalobacteraceae bacterium PRE11B
Lineage: Bacteria; Pseudomonadati; Pseudomonadota; Betaproteobacteria; Burkholderiales; Oxalobacteraceae
Description: bacterial SSU rRNA
Rfam family: Bacterial small subunit ribosomal RNA
Source: RNAcentral